GGCUCACCAAGGCGACGAUGCGUAGCCGACCUGAGAGGGUGAUCGGCCACACUGGGACUGAGACACGGCCCAGACUCCUACGGGAGGCAGCAGUAGGGAAUCUUCCGCAAUGGACGAAAGUCUGACGGAGCAACGCCGCGUGAGUGAUGAAGGUUUUCGGAUCGUAAAACUCUGUUGUUAGGGAAGAACAAGUUGGGUAGUAACUGACCCAACCUUGACGGUACCUAACCAGAAAGCCACGGCUAACUACGUGCCAGCAGCCGCGGUAAUACGUAGGUGGCAAGCGUUGUCCGGAAUUAUUGGGCGUAAAGCGCUCGCAGGCGGUCUUUUAAGUCUGAUGUGAAAGCCCACGGCUUAACCGUGGAGGGUCAUUGGAAACUGGAGGACUUGAGUACAGAAGAGGAGAGUGGAAUUCCACGUGUAGCGGUGAAAUGCGUAGAGAUGUGGAGGAACACCAGUGGCGAAGGCGACUCUCUGGUCUGUAACUGACGCUGAGGAGCGAAAGCGUGGGUAGCGAACAGGAUUAGAUACCCUGGUAGUCCACGCCGUAAACGAUGAGUGCUAGGUGUUAGGGGGUUUCCGCCCCUUAGUGCUGAAGUUAACGCAUUAAGCACUCCG
RNAcentral lists this ribosomal RNA (618 nucleotides) under Oceanobacillus sp. Its description in RNAcentral is "bacterial SSU rRNA". It matches the Rfam family "Bacterial small subunit ribosomal RNA", at positions 262 to 871 of the family's 1533-position model. Lineage: Bacteria; Bacillati; Bacillota; Bacilli; Caryophanales; Bacillaceae. The record is from RNAcentral.